AGAGAUAGAAAGUUACUUCGGUACGAUCGGUGACAGGUGGUGCAUGGUUGUCGUCAGCUCGUGUCGUGAGAUGUUGGGUUAAGUCCCGCAACGAGCGCAACCCCUAUUGUUAGUUGCCAUCAUUCAGUUUGGGCACUCUAGCGAGACUGCCGGUAAUAAACCGGAGGAAGGUGGGGAUGACGUCAAAUCAUCAUGCCCCUUAUGACCUGGGCUACACACGUGCUACAAUGGUUGGUACAACGAGUUGCGAGUCGGUGACGGCGAGCUAAUCUCUUAAAGCCAAUCUCAGUUCGGAUUGUAGGCUGCAACUCGCCUACAUGAAGUCGGAAUCGCUAGUAAUCGCGGAUCAGCACGCCGCGGUGAAUACGUUCCCGGGCCUU
RNAcentral lists this ribosomal RNA (380 nucleotides) under uncultured Streptococcus sp. RNAcentral's name for it is "bacterial SSU rRNA". It matches the Rfam family "Bacterial small subunit ribosomal RNA", at positions 1002 to 1382 of the family's 1533-position model. Lineage: Bacteria; Bacillati; Bacillota; Bacilli; Lactobacillales; Streptococcaceae. The record is from RNAcentral.